UGCGGAGGGUGCGAGCGUUGUUCGGAAUUAUUGGGCGUAAAGGGCGCGUAGGCGGGUUGGUAAGUCUCUUGGUGAAAGGUUCACCGCUCAACGGGAACAUUGCCGGAGAUACUGCCAGCCUGGAGAGCGGUAGAGGUGAGUGGAAUUCCUGGUGUAACGGUGGAAUGUUUAGAUAUCAGGAAGAACACCCGUGGCGAAGGCGACUCACUGGACCGCAUCUGACGCUGAGGCGCGAAAGCCAGGGGAGCAAACGGG
Molecule: ribosomal RNA, 255 nt
Filed under: uncultured bacterium
Lineage: Bacteria
Description: partial 16S ribosomal RNA
Rfam family: Bacterial small subunit ribosomal RNA
Source: RNAcentral